GAUGAACGCUGGCUACAGGCUUAACACAUGCAAGUCGAGGGGAAACGACGGGGAAGCUUGCUUCCCCGGGCGUCGACCGGCGCACGGGUGAGUAACGCGUAUCCAACCUGCCUCUGACUGAGGGAUAACCCGUCGAAAGUCGGCCUAAUACCUCAUGGCAUCGUCUGCGGGCAUCCAACGACGAUUAAAGAUUUCAUCGGUCAGGGAUGGGGAUGCGUCUGAUUAGCUUGUUGGCGGGGUAACGGCCCACCAAGGCUACGAUCAGUAGGGGUUCUGAGAGGAAGGUCCCCCACAUUGGAACUGAGACACGGUCCAAACUCCUACGGGAGGCAGCAGUGAGGAAGAUUGGUCAAUGGGCGGGAGCCUGAACCAGCCAAGUAGCGUGCAGGAGGACGGCCCUAUGGGUUGUAAACUGCUUUUAUGCGGGGAUAAAGUGAGGGACGUGUCCUUCAUUGCAGGUACCGCAUGAAUAAGGACCGGCUAAUUCCGUG
This 491-nucleotide ribosomal RNA is filed under the name uncultured bacterium. RNAcentral describes it as "partial 16S ribosomal RNA". It matches the Rfam family "Bacterial small subunit ribosomal RNA", at positions 28 to 507 of the family's 1533-position model. The record is from RNAcentral.